UACAGAGGGUGCGAGCGUUAAUCGGAAUUACUGGGCGUAAAGCGCGCGUAGGCGGCUUUGCAAGUCGGGUGUGAAAUCCCCAGGCUUAACCUGGGAACUGCAUUCGAGACUGCAUUGCUAGAGUAUGGGAGAGGGAAGUGGAAUUUCCGGUGUAGCGGUGAAAUGCGUAGAUAUCGGAAGGAACACCAGUGGCGAAAGCGGCUUCCUGGUCCAGCAUCGACGUUCAGGCACGAAAGCGUGGGGAGCAAACAGG
Molecule: ribosomal RNA, 253 nt
Filed under: uncultured bacterium
Lineage: Bacteria
Description: partial 16S ribosomal RNA
Rfam family: Bacterial small subunit ribosomal RNA
Source: RNAcentral